AGUGAACGCUGGCGGUAGGCCUAACACAUGCAAGUCGAACGGCAGCACAGUAAGAGCUUGCUCUUACGGGUGGCGAGUGGCGGACGGGUGAGGAGUACAUCGGAAUCUACUUUUUCGUGGGGGAUAACGUAGGGAAACUUAUGCUAAUACCGCAUACGACCUACGGGUGAAAGCAGGGGAUCUUCGGACCUUGCGCGAUUGAAUGAGCCGAUGUCGGAUUAGCUAGUUGGCGGGGUAAAGGCCCACCAAGGCGACGAUCCGUAGCUGGACUGAGAGGAUGGUCACCCACAUGGGAACGUGGACACGGACCAUGCGCCUAAGGGAGGCAGCAGUGGGGAAUAUGGGACAACGGUCGCAAGUCUUAUCCAGCCAGACCGCGUGGGUGAAGAAGGCCUUCGGGUUGUAAAGCCCUUUUGUUGGGAAAGAAAAGCAGCAGGUUAAUACCCCGCUGUUCUGACGGUACCCAAAGAAUAAGCACCGGCUAACUUCGUG
This 492-nucleotide ribosomal RNA is filed under the name uncultured bacterium. RNAcentral's name for it is "partial 16S ribosomal RNA". It matches the Rfam family "Bacterial small subunit ribosomal RNA", at positions 29 to 507 of the family's 1533-position model. The record is from RNAcentral.